Molecule: ribosomal RNA, 1065 nt
Filed under: Triticum aestivum (bread wheat)
Lineage: Eukaryota; Viridiplantae; Streptophyta; Magnoliopsida; Poales; Poaceae
Description: partial small subunit ribosomal RNA
Source: RNAcentral
AUGGACAACCUUGAGAACACGUCAGAGGACAAAGGCUUAAAUUUUCAGUGCAAUCUAUCUGACAUAGAGGUCGUACAUAGCAUGACACAGCUCUUACUUCAUGCAUUGGCCACAGCUUCAGUGGACAGCACCACUGGUGAUAUGUUCAAGAGCCCAGCAUCUGUAGCUAUUGGCAUGAAGUCCGAACUAUCAGGGUACAUGAUUCAGAGAUCUGAAACACUUGUUCGCGAAUCUAUGGAUGGAGGCGAGGAUCAUUCAGAUAAAUUAACAAAAGCAUCCUCCAGGCCGACGGAGUUCCUGUCAGACUUGAUCGAUGAGUUUGUGACCUCAAAAAGGGGCAUGCUGAGCCAUGUCUCUGGGCUUUUUUCUAGCGAAAGCCGCCUGAACAAAAUUAAAGACUUCAUGCAAAAGUUAGAGACGGAUAACUCAUGGGCCCAGGAUGAAAGGAAGGCGACUGCAUGGGCUAUUCUGGAGAACAUAGACAGUAAAGGCAUUUUCCAUUGCCCCGAGAGGUUUGACAUGCCAGAUAAGCUAGCUGAGCACACAAGUCAAUGCAAAUUUAGGAUACUGAAUUGCACAUAUGAUGGAUGUGUAGCUUCUUUCUGUGCUAUUCAUAUCGAAAAGCAUGACACUGUCUGCCCAUUCAAGCUCCUACCAUGCGAGCAGCUGUGUGAACAACAUGUUAUGCGGUCUGAGAUGGACAAACAUUGUGGAACAGUUUGCCCUAUGAAGCUUACCAACUGCCCGUUUUUUAGAAUUGGCUGUGAAACAGCCUUUCCACAGUGUAAUCUUGAUAACCAUUGUUCGCGGUUUCUACAAACCCAUUUGAUGUAUGUCGUCAAGGUGAUUACAAGACAGGGUGAUUGUGUUAAUGAUAUGGAUCAACGGCUGCAACUCCUUGAGAAGGUGCAAUCAUUGAACGAACUCGCUGGGGCUUUAGAUGUCAAGGCCCUCACUCUGAUUACAAAGGAACAAGAAUCAAAGAUAAAUAAACUCGAACGGGAUCUCAAAGCCCAAGAAACAAGGAUGAAGAAACUCGAGAACGAUCUUAGGUCACGGAAAUAA